Long non-coding RNA from Cryptomeria japonica (Japanese cedar), 643 nucleotides. RefSeq lists it as uncharacterized. The transcript has 3 exons. Lineage: Eukaryota; Viridiplantae; Streptophyta; Pinopsida; Cupressales; Cupressaceae. The record is from RefSeq and is a predicted model, not a curated record.
GAUUAAGGGGGUUCAAGCUCAUUGAUGUUUUGCUGGUUCUUGUCAGAAGAGAUGAUAGAUGAUUGCAACUGUCUCCAAGGUAAUUGCAGAAGAGUCAAAAGCUAGUCCAAUGAAAUGUUGUUUUGAUCUAAGCUCAUCAGGAGGAAGGAAAGCCUUUUCCAUGUUCUGCUAAAAGAAUUGUCUAUGAAAUCUGGUUCACUUUCCCUAAAGAGACAAGGCUAUCAUUAAGGUAUUAAAGAUCAGGAGAGGCAUGUGAACUUUUGGCUAUGGACUUCUUCGUUGAGUACAGUAGAUCCAUUCAAAGAGGCUCCUCUCAUUAAUGAGUGUUCUGUAUCAAGGCAUGUAUUGAACUCUCUUCUUAGGAGGAUUACUCUUACAGUGUAGUUUGUGUUUUAAGAAUCAAAUGUGUAGCAUUCAAUUGGACAUUUAAUUUUUAAUGAACAAAUACAACUGUCGUUAAUAGAGUCAAUUACAUGAAGCUUUUCCAACUUUUUGUUAUAUUUACUUGUAAUCAACUCUGAUGUGGGCCACAGAUGCUCCAUGCCUUUCGCUAUUCAUUCCCAAUUAUGUCGUACUAGGUAUGAAUGUAGACAGAUUGGUCUCUGUAGACAUUACCUUCAAACUUUAACUGUUGUUUAUUAUA